UGCUUCAUCUUUGUUUUAUGUAAGUACACAUAAAAAUCAUGUGUUAUUAUUACAUCAUAUAGACGGGUUAGCUGAGAACGUCACAAACGAUGCGCACGCUUCAAUGGGGCAGAAGGCCGUGUGUUGUGAUUCUGGAUGGCCAGAUAGCUAGCAACAAUGACAAGAAGCUGCCAUGUGGGGAAUCGUGGAGCCAGCCCAGCACUGAUCUGCCAGGUACAUGGUGUGAUCACCCUGAAGAGAGGCUCCUUCAAGGCCAACCAUGAUGAAAAGACUAACCAGGUCCUCUCCAUGGACUGGCUGCCUGUUAAACCUCACAACAUCCUUGCUGCUGGCUUCUAUGAUGAGACCUCAUGGUGAUGGCAGGGGAUGGUAACGAUGUGGGACCUGAGGAGGACCUGGGAGCCCUGCCAGUCCUUCAAGCUCUUCCUCUCCACCGAGGCGGCCUGGCCCCUGCACUGGCCUGGGGUCUCCAUCUCUCAGGAGAGUACCUACGCCAUAGGACGUUUAAGAAUGUCCAGAACUGAGCUCCUUGGAAGCACAUGCAGGCUGCAGAGACCAAAGGGGGACUAGGCCUGGACAUGAUGCCUUUAGCUUCACUAACCAAGGCUGGUGGUAGCUGGUCCGCUCCAGGAGUCUGAGGUGCAGGAGGUUCCUCCGCAACCCAUUGGACAUUGAGGUGGCAACGGCGUACUCGGUCUGUUCCAUCCUGGAUUCGAGGCGUCGGGUUGGAGGCCUGCAGUAUCUCGUGGAGUGGGAGGGGUACGGU
This is a long non-coding RNA of Coregonus clupeaformis (lake whitefish), 766 nucleotides long. RefSeq lists it as uncharacterized. Lineage: Eukaryota; Metazoa; Chordata; Actinopteri; Salmoniformes; Salmonidae. The record is from RefSeq and is a predicted model, not a curated record. The transcript is spliced from 6 exons.